Molecule: small RNA, 80 nt
Filed under: Aquipseudomonas alcaligenes
Lineage: Bacteria; Pseudomonadati; Pseudomonadota; Gammaproteobacteria; Pseudomonadales; Pseudomonadaceae
Also listed under: 1 other name
Description: Pseudomonas alcaligenes isrK Hfq binding RNA
Rfam family: isrK Hfq binding RNA
Source: Rfam by way of RNAcentral
GUCGCUGUAAGUCCAGCGGCCUGGGAUUGGCGUCCCGGAUUCAGAGGCGGACACAACCGCCGUUUUCGAGCGGUUUUUUU